This 89-nucleotide unclassified non-coding RNA is filed under the name Pseudomonas mandelii. Lineage: Bacteria; Pseudomonadati; Pseudomonadota; Gammaproteobacteria; Pseudomonadales; Pseudomonadaceae. The record is from RNAcentral.
UGUGGGAGCGAGCCUGCUCGCGAUGGCGUCGUGUCAGCCAACAUCCAUGUUUCUGUUACACCGCUAUCGCGAGCAGGCUCGCUCCCACA